CUUCCCGCGACGAUUUCGCCGCGAUGCUCGACGAGUCCUUUGCAGGCGGCAACCUGCAGGAAAGCUCCGUCAUCAAGGGCAAGGUUGUUGCAAUUGAGAAAGACAUGGCCGUCAUCGACGUCGGCCUGAAGACCGAGGGCCGCGUGGCUCUCCGCGAAUUCAACGGCCCGGGCCGCGAGAGCGACCUCAAGGUCGGCGACGAAGUCGAGGUGUUCCUCGACCGGAUCGAAAACGCACUCGGCGAAGCCGUGCUGUCGCGCGACAAGGCGCGCCGC
Molecule: unclassified non-coding RNA, 275 nt
Filed under: Hevea brasiliensis (rubber tree)
Lineage: Eukaryota; Viridiplantae; Streptophyta; Magnoliopsida; Malpighiales; Euphorbiaceae
Source: RNAcentral